UAUCAAAUGAGGCACCAGUGUUGUGGCUUGAAACAGAUCUCACACCCAGUGACCUUCUAGGGUCGUGGGUAAGGCCGACCACUGAGCCAGCAGCCUCUCUGAUCAUCUCAUUGAUUCUGUUUGUAUCUUCCACAAAGCACAGCAUAGAAGAAGACACUGCUUGAGAACCCCUUAAAAACAUUGGGACGCUUUCUGCUAAUGUCAAAGAAACUAAGCUUCCUCAAGAAGGAAAGUCUUGAAUGAGCUUUAUAUUAGAUAAAGUCCAGUCUCCAACCAUUUGUCUGUUGCACAGUUUGAGCCAGAAUACAAACUUUUGUGCAUAAAAUGUUUUUUUUGCAUUAAGAACUUUACAGACAAUGUGGCCCAAGAAAUUCCCCUUUGACUGGCUUGGACCAUGUCAACCCCUCAAGGUGUUUAAUGUGGCUGGGACCUGAUAACGGAGAGUAAUGACAGGGCAGUAUUGAAGACACAAGAAGAAACUCGUUGGAUAGGGAACGCGUAGGAAGCAUUCCACUCCUGAUUUGGUGACUCAAGAUGGAAGAGAUUGUGAUGAGAAUAAGGGGAGACGAGGCUUUGUGACUUAAAGGAUGAGUGUUGCAUCGGGAAGAAGAAAAUGAACAAAAAAUAAUCAAAUAGGUCAGAUAGACCCUCUUCAUCUCACAGAGAAUAGUAACAGUAGCAAUAAGUUCACCGUGCACAUUACAAGUGCUAUCUCCUAAUCAGUAUUGCGUUUGAUCUAACACAAUCUGUCAAACGUUUUGAAUGAGCUUGCAGCAGUGUUAAAGGGCAAACAGGUGUGUUUGUGUGUCUGUCAGUGUAUAAACAAUCGUAUGACCAGGCUUGUGUGGAAUGUCGGAUCUCUGUUCCCGAUAAACGUCACAGGGUUUUUAGGUGUUGAGUUGACCAGGGUCAACAGAGGUUAACUGAGCCAAUGUGCCAUGAGGCUCACACAAAUGUGCCACAGAUGACACCAACGCAGAUUUUGGACUUUGGCCCCGAAACCCCCAAAUCCCUUAAAUCUGGAGCAAGACAGCCUUCAUUUUUUAAAUGCAUUUGUUUAGAUAACAGUCAGACGAACGAGUGAAGGAUGGUAAUGUGCCUCUCAUGUGUUGGAUUUACAGUCAGCGGGAAUUUCCAAAUGAACAGCUUUGAUAUUUCAUUCGUUAAAGAUGCGCAGAGGCAAAGUCAGGAUGUGGUGAGAGCCAUAAAGGAGGUUCUCUGAACGUGUGUGUCUGUGUGCAUGCGGUUCAUAUUCCACGCAG
Molecule: long non-coding RNA, 1262 nt
Organism: Gasterosteus aculeatus aculeatus (three-spined stickleback)
Lineage: Eukaryota; Metazoa; Chordata; Actinopteri; Perciformes; Gasterosteidae
Source: Ensembl